Molecule: unclassified non-coding RNA, 229 nt
Filed under: fungal sp.
Lineage: Eukaryota; Fungi
Description: partial internal transcribed spacer region
Source: RNAcentral
AAGUCGUAACAAGGUUUCCGUAGGUGAACCAGCGUAAGGAUCAUUAACACGUAGCCAACGUUAAACCCCCUCCGUGAACCUUCAACGCAGUGCCUUUGCGGCUUAAUCAACCCAACGCGGGUGUAGCAAAUUAACAGCUAUCUCUGCACUCCGUCGUAGGACAAUGCAAGGUGUUGAGACUUCUGAUUGGUAGCGUUGACCAAGUGGUUAUUUUUCCCCAAGCAAUCGA